This 2925-nucleotide ribosomal RNA is filed under the name Escherichia coli. Its description in RNAcentral is "partial 23S ribosomal RNA". It matches the Rfam family "Bacterial large subunit ribosomal RNA". Lineage: Bacteria; Pseudomonadati; Pseudomonadota; Gammaproteobacteria; Enterobacterales; Enterobacteriaceae. The record is from RNAcentral.
GGGUUGUGAGGUUAAGCGACUAAGCGUACACGGUGGAUGCCCUGGCAGUCAGAGGCGAUGAAGGACGUGCUAAUCUGCGAUAAGCGUCGGUAAGGUGAUAUGAACCGUUAUAACCGGCGAUUUCCGAAUGGGGAAACCCAGUGUGAUUCGUCACACUAUCAUUAACUGAAUCCAUAGGUUAAUGAGGCGAACCGGGGGAACUGAAACAUCUAAGUACCCCGAGGAAAAGAAAUCAACCGAGAUUCCCCCAGUAGCGGCGAGCGAACGGGGAGCAGCCCAGAGCCUGAAUCAGUGUGUGUGUUAGUGGAAGCGUCUGGAAAGGCGUGCGAUACAGGGUGACAGCCCCGUACACAAAAAUGCACAUGCUGUGAGCUCGAUGAGUAGGGCGGGACACGUGGUAUCCUGUCUGAAUAUGGGGGGACCAUCCUCCAAGGCUAAAUACUCCUGACUGACCGAUAGUGAACCAGUACCGUGAGGGAAAGGCGAAAAGAACCCCGGCGAGGGGAGUGAAAAAGAACCUGAAACCGUGUACGUACAAGCAGUGGGAGCACGCUUAGGCGUGUGACUGCGUACCUUUUGUAUAAUGGGUCAGCGACUUAUAUUCUGUAGCAAGGUUAACCGAAUAGGGGAGCCGAAGGGAAACCGAGUCUUAACUGGGCGUUAAGUUGCAGGGUAUAGACCCGAAACCCGGUGAUCUAGCCAUGGGCAGGUUGAAGGUUGGGUAACACUAACUGGAGGACCGAACCGACUAAUGUUGAAAAAUUAGCGGAUGACUUGUGGCUGGGGGUGAAAGGCCAAUCAAACCGGGAGAUAGCUGGUUCUCCCCGAAAGCUAUUUAGGUAGCGCCUCGUGAAUUCAUCUCCGGGGGUAGAGCACUGUUUCGGCAAGGGGGUCAUCCCGACUUACCAACCCGAUGCAAACUGCGAAUACCGGAGAAUGUUAUCACGGGAGACACACGGCGGGUGCUAACGUCCGUCGUGAAGAGGGAAACAACCCAGACCGCCAGCUAAGGUCCCAAAGUCAUGGUUAAGUGGGAAACGAUGUGGGAAGGCCCAGACAGCCAGGAUGUUGGCUUAGAAGCAGCCAUCAUUUAAAGAAAGCGUAAUAGCUCACUGGUCGAGUCGGCCUGCGCGGAAGAUGUAACGGGGCUAAACCAUGCACCGAAGCUGCGGCAGCGACGCUUAUGCGUUGUUGGGUAGGGGAGCGUUCUGUAAGCCUGCGAAGGUGUGCUGUGAGGCAUGCUGGAGGUAUCAGAAGUGCGAAUGCUGACAUAAGUAACGAUAAAGCGGGUGAAAAGCCCGCUCGCCGGAAGACCAAGGGUUCCUGUCCAACGUUAAUCGGGGCAGGGUGAGUCGACCCCUAAGGCGAGGCCGAAAGGCGUAGUCGAUGGGAAACAGGUUAAUAUUCCUGUACUUGGUGUUACUGCGAAGGGGGGACGGAGAAGGCUAUGUUGGCCGGGCGACGGUUGUCCCGGUUUAAGCGUGUAGGCUGGUUUUCCAGGCAAAUCCGGAAAAUCAAGGCUGAGGCGUGAUGACGAGGCACUACGGUGCUGAAGCAACAAAUGCCCUGCUUCCAGGAAAAGCCUCUAAGCAUCAGGUAACAUCAAAUCGUACCCCAAACCGACACAGGUGGUCAGGUAGAGAAUACCAAGGCGCUUGAGAGAACUCGGGUGAAGGAACUAGGCAAAAUGGUGCCGUAACUUCGGGAGAAGGCACGCUGAUAUGUAGGUGAAGCGACUUGCUCGUGGAGCUGAAAUCAGUCGAAGAUACCAGCUGGCUGCAACUGUUUAUUAAAAACACAGCACUGUGCAAACACGAAAGUGGACGUAUACGGUGUGACGCCUGCCCGGUGCCGGAAGGUUAAUUGAUGGGGUCAGCGCAAGCGAAGCUCUUGAUCGAAGCCCCGGUAAACGGCGGCCGUAACUAUAACGGUCCUAAGGUAGCGAAAUUCCUUGUCGGGUAAGUUCCGACCUGCACGAAUGGCGUAAUGAUGGCCAGGCUGUCUCCACCCGAGACUCAGUGAAAUUGAACUCGCUGUGAAGAUGCAGUGUACCCGCGGCAAGACGGAAAGACCCCGUGAACCUUUACUAUAGCUUGACACUGAACAUUGAGCCUUGAUGUGUAGGAUAGGUGGGAGGCUUUGAAGUGUGGACGCCAGUCUGCAUGGAGCCGACCUUGAAAUACCACCCUUUAAUGUUUGAUGUUCUAACGUUGACCCGUGAUCCGGGUUGCGGACAGUGUCUGGUGGGUAGUUUGACUGGGGCGGUCUCCUCCUAAAGAGUAACGGAGGAGCACGAAGGUUGGCUAAUCCUGGUCGGACAUCAGGAGGUUAGUGCAAUGGCAUAAGCCAGCUUGACUGCGAGCGUGACGGCGCGAGCAGGUGCGAAAGCAGGUCAUAGUGAUCCGGUGGUUCUGAAUGGAAGGGCCAUCGCUCAACGGAUAAAAGGUACUCCGGGGAUAACAGGCUGAUACCGCCCAAGAGUUCAUAUCGACGGCGGUGUUUGGCACCUCGAUGUCGGCUCAUCACAUCCUGGGGCUGAAGUAGGUCCCAAGGGUAUGGCUGUUCGCCAUUUAAAGUGGUACGCGAGCUGGGUUUAGAACGUCGUGAGACAGUUCGGUCCCUAUCUGCCGUGGGCGCUGGAGAACUGAGGGGGGCUGCUCCUAGUACGAGAGGACCGGAGUGGACGCAUCACUGGUGUUCGGGUUGUCAUGCCAAUGGCACUGCCCGGUAGCUAAAUGCGGAAGAGAUAAGUGCUGAAAGCAUCUAAGCACGAAACUUGCCCCGAGAUGAGUUCUCCCUGACUCCUUGAGAGUCCUGAAGGAACGUUGAAGACGACGACGUUGAUAGGCCGGGUGUGUAAGCGCAGCGAUGCGUUGAGCUAACCGGUACUAAUGAACCGUGAGGCUUAACCUUACAACGCCGAAG